Arabidopsis lyrata subsp. lyrata is the source of this 363-nucleotide long non-coding RNA. RefSeq lists it as uncharacterized. NCBI's taxonomy places the organism in Eukaryota, Viridiplantae, Streptophyta, Magnoliopsida, Brassicales, Brassicaceae. The record is from RefSeq and is a predicted model, not a curated record. The transcript is spliced from 2 exons.
UCUCCCAUUUCAUCUGUGUUGUUAUGCAUUCAUAUCGGAUUUAUUUGGUUUUCUUUGUGUAUCAGAUCUUAAUUUUAAUUUUGAUUGUGGAAAACCCUAAUUUUCGUAAAAUGGCGAUUUAUAUGCAGAGGAAGAUGCGAAGAACUCCAAGUUCGUCCAGCAACACAGAAGAAACAAGCCACAAGAUAAGAUGAAAGACAUGUUCGGAUUUUGAGCUGUGUGUAACGUCUAGGGGCGAGUGGCUUCGCCAAAAUUGUUUACCUCAUUCAAGAUUUGAAAAAAUGGAGUCUUUGUAGCAGCAAAAGCUAUGGCAAGAAAGUAUUGUUUUUUCCUUCUUUAAUAUAAAAGCUUGUUCUUUUGCUA